GUUGGAAGAAGAGGCCCGUGUUGCACGAGAGAAAGAGAAGAUCGUCAAAUUAAAGUGGGAUUACCUAUCGGAGUUAAAAAGUGAACUGGAACGAAUUCACUUCCAACACGUAACUUUGCACGACAGAAUUUCGAGUGUGGCAGUUUCUUGCAAAUGGCGAACUAAACUUAGAAGAAAGCAAACUUUAUUAAAAGCGAAAGCUGUUACAGUAAUGAACGACAUAAACGACCUGG
Molecule: long non-coding RNA, 233 nt
Organism: Daphnia pulicaria
Lineage: Eukaryota; Metazoa; Arthropoda; Branchiopoda; Diplostraca; Daphniidae
Exons: 3
Source: RefSeq, a predicted model, not a curated record